AACUUUUGGCAACGGAUCACUGGGUUCUGGCAUCAAUGAAGAACGCAGCGAAAUGCGAUAAGUAAUGUGAAUUGCAGAAUUCAUUGAAUCAUCGAAUCUUGGAACGCACAUUGCGCCCGCCAGUAUUUUGGCGGGCAUGCCGGUUCGAGCGUCAUUUCAACCCUCAAGCCCCAGCGGCCUGGUGUUGGGGACCGGCGACCUCGCUGACGCCCUUCUUGGGCCCAGCGUCCGCCGCCCCCGAAAUGAAUUGGCGGUCUCGUCGCGGCCUCCUCUGCGUAGUAGCACAACCUCGCAACAGGAGCGCGACGCGGCCACUGCCGUAAAACGCCCAACUUUUUUAGAGUUGACCUCGGAUCAGGUAGGAAUACCCGCUGAACUUAAGCAUAUCAAUAAGCGGAGGCU
Molecule: unclassified non-coding RNA, 402 nt
Filed under: uncultured fungus
Lineage: Eukaryota; Fungi
Description: sequence contains ITS2
Rfam family: 5.8S ribosomal RNA (bases 1-154)
Source: RNAcentral